Pan troglodytes (chimpanzee) is the source of this 5483-nucleotide RNA transcript. It is a transcript of the gene named zinc finger DHHC-type palmitoyltransferase 20, with no coding region annotated. NCBI's taxonomy places the organism in Eukaryota, Metazoa, Chordata, Mammalia, Primates, Hominidae. The transcript is spliced from 15 exons. The record is from RefSeq and is a predicted model, not a curated record.
GGGCGGGGCCUGGCCGGGCGCCGGGACGGGAGGAGUCCCGGCGGCGCCUCGGACUUUUGCUCCCACAAGUCCUGCCUCCGAGGCGGAGGAGCUGGACCAGCAGCCGCCUGGAGCGUCCGAGUCGCCGUCGCCGGGGCUCCCGCGCUCCCCAGAACGGUGGGACGCGGGGCUCGGCAGCCGCCAGCGGAACAUGGCGCCCUGGACGCUGUGGCGCUGCUGCCAGCGCGUCGUGGGCUGGGUGCCGGUGCUCUUCAUCACCUUCGUGGUCGUCUGGUCCUACUACGCGUACGUGGUGGAGCUUUGCGUGUUUACUAUUUUUGGAAAUGAAGAAAAUGGAAAGACCGUUGUUUACCUUGUGGCUUUCCAUCUGUUCUUUGUUAUGUUUGUAUGGUCCUAUUGGAUGACAAUUUUCACAUCUCCCGCUUCCCCCUCCAAAGAGUUCUACUUGUCCAAUUCUGAAAAGGAACGUUAUGAAAAAGAAUUCAGCCAAGAAAGACAACAAGAAAUUUUGAGAAGAGCAGCAAGAGCUUUACCUAUCUAUACCACAUCAGCUUCAAAAACUAUCAGAUAUUGUGAAAAAUGUCAGCUGAUUAAACCUGAUCGGGCACAUCACUGCUCAGCAUGUGACUCAUGUAUUCUUAAGAUGGAUCAUCACUGUCCUUGGGUGAAUAACUGUGUGGGAUUUUCUAAUUACAAAUUCUUCCUGCUGUUUUUAUUGUAUUCCCUAUUAUAUUGCCUUUUCGUGGCUGCAACAGUUUUAGAGUACUUUAUAAAAUUUUGGACGCUUUGCCGCAGGAAGUCUACAGAGAGUUGUCCAAAGAAUGAACUGACAGAUACACGUGCAAAAUUCCACGUACUUUUUCUUUUCUUUGUGUCUGCAAUGUUCUUCAUCAGCGUCCUCUCACUUUUCAGCUACCACUGCUGGCUAGUUGGAAAAAAUAGAACAACAAUAGAAUCAUUCCGCGCACCCACAUUUUCAUACGGACCUGAUGGAAAUGGUUUCUCUCUUGGAUGCAGUAAAAAUUGGAGACAAGUCUUUGGUGAUGAAAAGAAAUAUUGGCUACUUCCAAUAUUUUCAAGCUUGGGUGAUGGUUGCAGUUUUCCAACUCGCCUUGUGGGGAUGGAUCCAGAACAAGCUUCUGUUACAAACCAGAAUGAGUAUGCCAGAAGAUCUAAACUGCAGAGGUAGAAAGCAGAAAACUUGGGAAAUGACAGUAGUGGCUCAAAUCAGCCUUUUCCUAUCAAACCACUUAGUGAAUCAAAAAACCGCUUGUUGGACAGUGAAUCUCAGUGGCUGGAGAAUGGAGCUGAAGAAGGCAUCGUCAAAUCAGGGACAAAUAACCAUGUAACAAUGGCAAUAGAAAAUUGAGUACCACUUGUUCAUAACUAACCAUUUGAAUAAGAGCAAGGUGUAUGAAAACAUUAUAGACUGGUAUUUUCAAUUUUCAUUUGCAAGGAAAUGAUCAGUGGAAUGAAAUAACUGAAGUAUAACAGAAGAUAUAUUUUUUAAAACGGAAAGCCUUUGUACAGUUCCUGGGAUUCACAGAAGCACUACUCCAGAGCAGAACGAUGCCUUAAUCUUAAGUGUCCAUUUGUGCAGCAUUGACUUAGAGCUACAAAAGUGACUUAAUGUUAUUCUGGAAAUAAUACUUACCUGUUAUGAGAUGCUAUAAUAUGAGCUGUCAUCACAUUUUAACAUGCAUAUGUAUUUUUUGAUACCUGAAUUACAUUAUUAGAAUAAGUAUCCGUAUUUUCACUCCAAAAACACAAGCUUAAAAACUUUAAAGUACAUCUAGGGCAAAUGGUGGCUGAAAGUGACUAAUAUUCAAAUUACUGUUGCUUGUACUGUAUAAGGAAAACUGCUUUUUUAAAUUGGGUAUUUGCUAAUUUAUAAUUACUAUUUUAUACUUUUCAACAUUUUUAAUAACUUUUUUUAUUGUUGGCUAUAACAGAAGGAUUCAGAUAUCUAAAUAUCAUUUAGAACAUAGAACACAUUGGUCUAAUUCAUCGAAAGCUUAGUUAUGAGCAUUAAUAUAACCAUGUAGUAGAGCAAGUGCCCAAGGUUUAAAGGGAACUUGGCAGUAUAAGAAAUAUUUUGGGUUCUCUCUGCUAUUUUAUAGCUUUUUUUGUUGAACUUUCAGGGGUAUGUACAUGGGCAGAGAAACACAAAGGUACAUGUGCUGGAGAAUAGUGGACACAGUAGGAAGAAGUAUAGGUGUCCAGAAGAAAAUCUAAGAGGAAUAUUGUAAUUUGUUAAAAAAAAAUAGCUUUGAGUUUUAACAGCAGUUAGAAUAAAGUAUGCUGUUGACUUCACUUUCAAAUUUCAGUGUAGGUAAUGACUAAAAAUUACUUUGAAACUUUUUACAGUAAUACUGUAACAGCUUAAACAGUGAUUUAAAAUGCAAUUCAAACUAGGCAAAACAAACUUUAGAGUAAGUUUUCCUCCUGGCUGUCAGUUGGAAAUUCUAACCUGAGUGGUCAUUUUACAUUCCCAGUCUCUUGAGAAGUGGAUUCUACUCUUAGAUGCACAGUCUGAAGUCUGACUUCCUAACAGCAACCCCUUUAUGACUAGACACACUUCUCCUUUUUCCUUUUAAAAUCUAAGCGACAGGAGGUGUUGCAUUAACUCCAAGGAAAAGUACAGAAUAAACAAUGUAGAAAUGUCACUCCUCAUUUACACCUUUUAGACAGACACACACACACACACACCCCCCAAAAUAAUUGAUUGCUUCCAGUGAGUGGGUGGAGAUGAAUCUCAGCAGCAUCUGUGAGUACUACAGGUUGGAGCUUCCUGUCUGUAAAAUGGGACUGCAGGGGAGGGGGUGUUGUGAAUGAGUUGGACUGGAUGACUUCUAACAUUCUGCGAUGCCUAAUUUUGCAAAAUCACUUUUCAUUCACCCAAUAAAUUUUUUUCUUCUUUUUUCCACAGAAUUUUGCUCUGUCUCCCAGGCAGGAGUGCAGUGGCGGGAUCUUGGCUCGCUGCAACCUCUGCCUCCCAGGUUCGAUAGAGUCUCCUGCCUCAGCCUCCCAAGUAGCUGGGAUUACAGGCUCUUGCCACCAUGCCCGGCUAAUUUUUACAUUUUUAGAAGAGACGAGGUUUCACCAUGUUGACCAGGCUGAUCACAAACUCCUGACCUCAAAUAAUCCACCCACCUUAGCUUCCCAGAGUGCUGGGAUUACAGGCAUGAGCCACCACGCCCCGCCCCAGUAAAUUUUUUGGAGUACCUUCUGUAUGCUAAAUAAUACACUAGGAAUAGCUCUAUCAUUUCCUAGUACAGCAUAAAUUUUAUGGUUGCUACUGUAGGUUUAUAAUUUGUUUAUAAUUUGGCCUAAUUUCCAUCAGCCAUACUAAUAUUAGAUUUUAAAAGGAGGCAACUUUUUUUCUUUUUGAACCAAAGGAAUGAGUUAGCUUUGAAAACAUAAUUUGGGAUAUUAUAGUAUGGAUGAUUCUACCUUUGUUUCAACUCCUUAAUAAUCUUGAUUCUAGCAAACUAGAAUGAGAUUUAAGAGAUACCAAUUAUUGCUGGGUGUGGUGGCUCAUGCCUGUAAUCCCAGCACUUUGGGAGGCCAAGGCUGGCGGAUCACCUGAGGUCAGGGGUUCGAGAUUAGCCUGGUCAAAAUGGCAAAACCCUGUCUCCACUAAAAAUACAAAAAAACCCCAAAACUGUCCAGGCAUGGUGGCACACGCCUGUAGUCCCAGCUACUCGGGAGGUGGAGGCAGGAGAAUCACUUGAACCCAGGAGGCGGAGGUUGCAGUGAGCCGAGAUCAUGCCACUGCACUCCAGCCUGGGCGAUGAGUGAAACUCCAUCUCAAAAAUAUAUAUAUAUCAAUUACCAACUAAAAACAUAACUUCAGUUUGGCAGUUUGCAUAUUAUAAGGAGAUAAAUGUUAAAACAUACUUGACUACUUUCAGAAAUGUUCUCCUGGUACUUUUUGCAUUUCUACAUUCAGAUAAAAAGAUUUGCAUGCACCUGGCUAACGCCAAGGGAACUUCAUUUUUUUCUUCACUAUUAUGCACUUUCAUGGUAUAGUCUUUCUCAGUUCUUUUAAUUUUUGUUAUUUAACAUCUUUAAUAGCACAGCAAACAUCUUUUCAGAAAUUUUCAGUUAAAGCCUUUGAAUUACUUAUCUUUGAUUUAAUUUACAGCCAGCAUUUUGCCACGUUCUAAAUAAUAUUUAGCUGAACUGAUUCAUACGUAUUAAUGACCAUUCUAGCAAAGGCCUACAAGUGGUGUGGGAAUCAGGGAAAGGCUGCCUCUUUGGUAUCUCAACUGGUAUUGAUUAUUGCUAUCAACUAUUUGGAGAGAAAAAAUCAAAAUGAAGCCCUGUCAAAUUUUAGAAGUACUAUCUUUGGUCCUUCAAACACUUUGUGAUGACACCUUAAGAAAAAUAAAGUUGAAGUUCAGGUCUUGCCAUUGCCAUUACAAACAAAUUAGGAGACUUGGUUUACCUGGGAACAAAUUUACUUGAAUAUUCAGUACCUGAAACUAUGCCAAACCAAAGAGCAGCUGCAGUACAUUCGUUAUUUUAAAUGAACAAGUUUACAAAGUUUAUUUUCAUCUAUACGUAAGGAUGAUUUUUUUAAAACUUUUUACAUAUUAGUGGUUAUGAUCCAAUGUGUCAUGAGUGAAUUUAACUGUAAGGUGGUUUAAAUCAAAUAUGCAAUGUUUACUUGAAUUGUAUUUCUAUUAGCAGAUUUUGACUAUGUUUACAGGACUGUUUAAAUUAAGGAUUAUCAGGCAUGUGAGAUCUUUCAGUUAUCUUUAAAGUAGAUGUAUGUUAAGGGCUUAGAUUUAGGAUCUACAUAUUCUGGGCAUUGAAUAGGCAGUAACUUACAAAUAAGUUUUGCUUACCUUUUGUUCUAGGGACUAGCACUGCUAUCAAUGGAAAGUAUUUUUAACUAAUCUGUUAUUAAGAAAGUCAUAUUUUUGCAUUUCAGCCAAAAUAAAGACCGUAUCUAAUAAUCUGUUAGAAACAGAUAAUACAUGUCUGAAAUCCAUAUGUUUCAUAUGAUCUAAACUGUAUUUUCCAAUUUAAAUUAAAAAUGUAAUAUAGAUUCAGAAAGGUUCAUAUUUUUCUAAUGACUUCAUUCUAUAUUAUUUUGUUAGGUUGCAUAAAGAAGCAAGGAAUUGUACUUGUAUUAAAAGAUGAAGAAAGCUAUUAGGUAUAUUUGUAUAUGACUGCAAAUGAGUCUAUGCCCGUUUAAAAGAAAAGAUGGACACUAUUUUAAAGUGAGCUUUAAUAUGCUUUUAUAUAAACAAAUUUGAAGUACAGUUUAGUUUGGUUGUGUUUACCUAACAAGUAUCAUAAGCCUUGUGUUUGCUCUUAUUUGUAUAAUCCUAGCCUGUGACUUAAUGUUGAUGCUUUGCUUUGUCUUUUGGCUGGCCUAACCUACAUUGAUAUGUACACAGAACAUUUUAAAACUUUUUUUUUCAAAAGUCAUAAUGAAUUACUUUAUUAAUAAACAAAGUCUUGUAUUUGAA